This is a non-coding RNA of Ciona intestinalis (vase tunicate), 385 nucleotides long. Lineage: Eukaryota; Metazoa; Chordata; Ascidiacea; Phlebobranchia; Cionidae. The record is from RefSeq and is a predicted model, not a curated record.
UUUCUAAACAUAUGGUAAGAGUCGUGAGUAAUUGCUUCCUAACUCCUCUCUCUUAGGAUGGUGUUUCGAUAAUAAACAUGAUGCUGCUUAGCAACUUUUCUCUUUAAACAAAAUCUUUAGAAAAGUAAGCACAAGAAGAAAUGCCGAAUUUCUUAUAUAAACCAACGAUUUCAUUCAAGAAAUUAUCAUUUCUUCGGAAGAUACAACAUGAACAAGUCACUAUUUCUUCUCUUGCUCGUCAUCGGACUGACGUAGCAAGUCGUAUAAAACAAUAUUCUUUUAUUGUUCCAUACCUUAGAAUUACGAUUACUUUUCCAACUGCGUGGUAACUUGUGGUACACAAAUAAACUAGCGCUAACUAAAUACACAAAAACAUGAAAAGUGA